AUACCAGCACACACAUGAGGACUCUCUGAAAGCCACUAAGCACUGUAAACUGACUAUACCCCAUGUCUAACUAGCUUCAAACCUGUGUUGUUAACUUCAGCCCGAGGGUGUCCUCUGAAGAGUGAGAACGACAGCAUUUUCUAAGCCAUCAUAAAAUGUGACAGCCAUUCCAAAGGUAGCCAAGUGACAAGCCCUUAAAAGGGUUGAGAAUGUAUAUUGGCUCUGAAAAAUGACUGAAAAUGGAACCAGCAACAAAAUAAGAACUGUUCCUAGGAGUCUUGUGGCUUUUUUCUGUCAUGCCCUUAUAGCUGUACUUAUUUCUAGGAUCUAAAAUUUGGAGGCUUGUGUUCAUGUUGUCCAAUUUGAUAUCUCCCAGAAAACAUGGAGUGUGGAGCAAGGAACUGGCACUUUUUUUCCCAAAGAUGACGUUUGCUCAGUGUGACAGCCCUUUCCCAGUUCUAUUUUAAAAUUCUAAAGAGGAUUUACCUAUGUCUAGAACUACCUAGAAACUUCCUAUAAGAGCUGAUCAGUUGGCAUUUGCCAUGAUGCUGAAGCAAAGUUAUCAAUCCUCUUUUGACAUUUUCCUUGAGGUCAGUUGGCCCAAGUGGUUGAAAGGAUGAAGCUCUGCAGGGUCACUUAGAUUCCAGGAUGGCAUUUGGACUGCAAGGGACAUUCAGAGAAGGUCCACCAUUUUCUUGAUGAAGUUCUGGAGGUGUCAGCCGAGGCAACAUUGGAUUCUCCGAGCAUUUCUCUCUUUCAUUAGCAGAGGU
RNAcentral lists this long non-coding RNA (770 nucleotides) under Marmota monax (woodchuck). The record is from RNAcentral. Lineage: Eukaryota; Metazoa; Chordata; Mammalia; Rodentia; Sciuridae.